UACGAAGGGGGCUAGCGUUGUUCGGAAUUACUGGGCGUAAAGGGCGCGUAGGCGGUCCUUCAAGUCAGGCGUGAAAGCCCCGGGCUCAACCUGGGAACCGCGCUUGAGACUGGCGGGCUAGAGUUCGGGAGAGGAUGGUGGAAUUCCCAGUGUAGAGGUGAAAUUCGUAGAUAUCUGGAGGAAUACCGGUGGCGAAGGCGGCAUCCUGGACCGACAUUGACGCUGAACGGCGAAAGCUAGGGGAGCAAACGGG
Molecule: ribosomal RNA, 253 nt
Filed under: uncultured bacterium
Lineage: Bacteria
Description: partial 16S ribosomal RNA
Rfam family: Bacterial small subunit ribosomal RNA
Source: RNAcentral